CCUACGUGGUGCAGCAGUGAGGAAUAUUGGUCAAUGGCCGGAAGGCUGAACCAGCCAAGCCGCGUGAAGGACGAAGGUGCCAAGCAUUGUAAACUUCUUUUGUCAAGGGACAAAAUCAGGCUCGAGAGCCUGACCGAGGGUACUUGAAGAAAAAGCAUCGGCUAACUCCGUGCCAGAAGCCGCGGUAAUACGGAGGAUGCAAGCGUUAUCCGGAUUUAUUGGGUUUAAAGGGUGCGUAGGCGGGCUGUUAAGUCAGCGGUAAAAGCCCGGGGCUCAACCCCGGCGAGCCGUUGAAACUGGCUGUCUUGAGAUGUCGAGAGGUAUGCGGAAUGCGCAGUGUAGCGGUGAAAUGCUUAGAUAUUAGGAGGAACACCAGUGGCGAAGGCGGCUUACUGGACUGUAACUGACGUUGAGGCUCGAAAGCGUGGGGAGCAAACAGGAUUAGAUACCCCUGUAGUC
This 459-nucleotide ribosomal RNA is filed under the name uncultured bacterium. Its description in RNAcentral is "partial 16S ribosomal RNA". It matches the Rfam family "Bacterial small subunit ribosomal RNA", at positions 338 to 795 of the family's 1533-position model. The record is from RNAcentral.